Molecule: ribosomal RNA, 62 nt
Filed under: uncultured soil eukaryote
Lineage: Eukaryota
Description: partial 28S ribosomal RNA
Source: RNAcentral
UUUGACUCUGGCCUCAAAUCAGGUAGGACUACCCGCUGAACUUAAGCAUAUCAAUAAGCGGA